UAUAACAUGCAAAAUUCACUUUCACUUAUUUCUCUCUUGCAUGUCAAUUUUUACUGCAUAAAAAUCAAUGCUGAGUGAAGUUCAAAAUGUAUUUCAAUUCAUCGUAUUACGGAAUUGCAAAGUGUACCGUGUUAGCAAUCAACAGGAGCUAGAUAAGAAAAAAUACAACACUAUUACUUCACAUAUCUCAAAGUUUUUAAAUGAGCUCUGUAAAAAUUGUUUUAUCUGUUAUUUGUACUAUAUUUUAAUUAAUUUGUCUAAAUAAUUAAAAUGUAGCUUUUAACAAUAGGAUGGUAAUGAAAAGCAAAUGGAAAAAAAUGCAAUGUAUUCAUGAAUACGAGGAAAAGAAAAAUAUAAAGAUAAGAAUUACUUCAUUUAGGUUUUGAUUGAAAAUAAUGAAGUAAAUAAUUUUAUUCUGAUUCCUUCAGGUUUACCAGCAGGCUCAUUUCCCUUGUGGGUUUUCUUGUUUUUGCUGUUCAAAAGCUCAAAGAUUUUCAGCUUGAGUAUGAUUCAUAUUGUACCAUUUUGUAUUUCUCCCUUCAGAUUUUUUAUCCUGUAUAACCAAGACAUUAAAACUGAGAUAAAAACUCAGAAGAGAUGGACAGAAAUGUUCAGCAAUUCCGGAGAAAAGGAUUUAAAAGCUUAGCAAAAGGCAAACCUUUCCUACAGGUUGUUUUGACAACUGAAAAUGCUACUGAAAAGAUAUAAUUCAAUCUGACACACUGUGAGAUUCAUCCACUGUGUAACUUCAUCCAUAAUGAUGGGCAUAUGUGUCAACCAAAAUUUCUGUUCAAUCAUUGAUGUAUUGUUCUUUUAAAACAAUUGCUUGUUGGAGCGCCUCACAUUUAAGAAACAACCAGAAAAUCUUGACCUGGAAGAUAACUUUUAUUCUUAAGAACAUUUCGAUCUGUUUCAAAGCAUGGUUCUUUACAAAAUCCAAUUAAUUUUCCCAGUGUGAUUCCUUUUAGACAAAGUAAGUGAAGAGAACAGAAUAAUCUUCUUACUUAUUGACCAGAAGCUGACUGUUUCUCAUCCUUUUGCUAACAUUUGCUAAUGUUUUGGGUUGCGAAUGCUACAGCGGAUGUUUAUUUGCUUGUGAGUAUUUCUAACAGAUUUAGUUUCAUCAUUUUAUAAAACAGUUUAAAUGUCAGAGGAUACUUGAAUAUGUAUGAACUCAAUUUUUACUAUCAAUAUUAGCUUGCAGAUUACUUUGAAAAGCAUUACUGCUUAUCAAGAUCAUUAUCAUGCUGUCUUUCUAGAUACUGUAUAUCUUAUCUUACCUAUACUUUCUUCCUCUUCCUUCUCCAGUGUUCAUUUCCUUCUCCAUUAUAUUAUAUCAUAAUUUCUAAUGAUUUGCAAAAGGAUGGACUUAAAGUGUGUCUCUAGCACAGUGUCUAUUGUAUUGGUUAAGCCUUGCUAUCUUUUAUUAUUUAAAUCUGAACAGUUUUUUUCCUCAGGACUAAAUCAUCUGAGUUCUUUAAUGGACCUUUUAUAAAUACUACAGCUCUUCCAUGACUGUCUUUGAGAUAAAGCUGCUGUUAAUUCAGUGGUUUUAUAGUAGGCUUGAUUAUUCUGUGUUUAAUUAAGAGUGGAUUCCAAAGAAAUAAAAGAAAAAAAGCAGAAAUGUGAAGAAUCAUAAAAAUCAGCACUGAUCAAAAAUAUCUUCAGUCCAAGUUUGCGCAGAGCCAGGUGUGAGAUACACCAGAGAACUGCAAUGUCCUUUUGAGAUCUUGCUCAGGUAUAGCUAUGCCCUGGGUCGCCAAACUUUGUCUUGACACCAAAUUCAUUUGCUUGUUCUGUGGCUUGUACUUCUGCCUUUUGUCACCUUUACUGUAGUUCUGCUCAGAUUCCAUUUUAUAUUUCCUGGCAUUCCUUCUAAAAUAUUCUUUUUUUAAUUUUGUUUGUGUUGAGACUCAUUGCAACCAUUUAAGCCCAUUGGUAAUCCAAAGCAUUUAUGGAAGGUGCUUUAUCCAUGCAUACAUAGUUCUACUACUUCAUUUGUAAUCAUGACCUUUGUUCCAUGCCAUAGUCUAAGCAAGAACUAGUUCCUUUACAGGAUUUUUGUUUGUUUGUUUGUUGUUUUUUGUGUAUGUGUGUAUGUAAAUGUGCAAUCUUAUGCUUUCAGAUAUCUUGAUGUAUUGCUUCUGUUUAUUGUUUCCAUCCUUAUGUCUAACUAGUUCAAAUUCUCUAUUACUCUUCAUUUAUUUUUUUUCCCCACUGUCUUAUAAGAGGGCUCUGUUUUGCCUUUUUAUUAUUACUUCUAAUGAGAAAGUAGAAGCUGGUUGAUGACUUUUCAGCAGAUAAGUUUUUAUUAGAAAAUGUCAGUUGCACAGAAUUGGUUUUCUGAAAACUGUGUGAAGGCAACUGGAAAUUAGGAAUAAUAUUGUUGCAUAUGGGAGUCGGAGUUUAGGGCUCUGAAUUCCCUUAUUCCCAGACUCCUUUUCUAUGCUCAGUGCAAUCUGUUCCUGCCGACCAUGCAAUUCAAGUGGCAUCAGCAGUUUCAGUAUGAAGCCUAACAGUAGGAAAAGCAGAGGGUUUCAUUUUUGUAGUUUAGUUUCAGCUCCAAUUUGAGAGAAUUUUGCAUCCAAGCUUUUCAAUUUUUCUUAUGAUGGAUGCUUCUGACUCUGCAGAACUCUCUAUCCUGAUAUAAUAUACAAUUACACAUGGGCUGAGCAGAGUUAAGCAGUUUCUCUUCUCUCCAAUCCAGUGAGACAGAGCAUGUGCUGCACUAGCUGCUGAUGGAGGGCUCUUCUGACCAAGGCACUGGAAUUUAUAUCCUACAUUACUUCUGAACAUCUAGUAGCAGGGAAUGCUUCUGCUGUAUAUAACCUCUGUGCCUCAGCCCCUGCUCAGCCACACUCUUGUAUCGCUUCUGUUCUGCACUAUUCUCACUGACUGCUAUUCAGAAAUCUCUGCUUCAAUUUCUUUGCCUUCUUUCCCAUACAUUUGUGAUUCACCAGCUUACAGCUCAGCUUCUUUCCCCUGCUCUGUCUGUUGGUUCUUCCCUUAAAGUGUAUCCCAGUAGACUGUGUCUGCUUCCAAAGGGCUUCCUAAAGCCGUGCAAACCUGUAUCUCUUCUGGACACAUCAACUUGAGAGUCUGUCAUCCCAGACAGGGCUGCUUUGGCAGAAGGAUGACAGGCUCAACUGUUGUUCCAGCACUCCCAUUUGUGCCUAGUAUCUCUGGCCCCAGCUCACAACUGGCUUUUCUAAUUGUCAUAAUGAAUUACAUUAGUUUCAAUUCUGAACGUAACACAAAAGAUGUACUAAAGUCCUAUUUACUCUGAGCUGAAUUUAAGUUUAACAGACACUGUCUCUGAUUCUCACCAUCAUCUCUCUAUCCAGAGCUUCCCUCUCUUGUAAUGAAUUACCCCUCCAUUACUGAGAGUUUCCUAAGUGCUUACCCUGCAUACCACUAGAACUGUUCACUGGCAUGCUUUAAAUGCUGUAUAGCCCAUUGAACCAAAUUUUGGCUCAGCACAGUAUAAACAAUGGAUGUAGAGCCAUAUCAGCUCCUGCCAUCCCACAGCAUUGUGCCUAGAUUUGCUGUCAGAGAUGAAAGAAGGAAGAGAAGAACCAGGCAACAUGCAGCAGCAUGGGCUGACAGUAAUGAGUUACAGGUUGUUGCACCUGCUGUGCACAAAAAAAAAAAAAAAAAAAAAAAAAAAAAAAUCCUCUUUAAAUAUUAUUUCAUUAUAAAGGUGGCCUUUGUUCAGAUUGCACGGUGACUGAGUGUUUGCUCAGAGUUCAGACUGUCAGAUCCACAUGGCAUGUGCCUGGGGACAGAUUGAUUCCUGGGUGCUCAGCAGGUGCCAGCAGCACAAACUGAUCUCUGUCAAAAGAUGCUAUUGUUUUCAGCCCCUCUCCCAAAAUUUUUCUGACCUGGAAUGUGUGGCUGAGCCUCAGCUGGAGUUCCACUGAUUGGCACCUGUCACGUGUUGACCCAAUAUAUCUCACAAGUAUUAAAAGGCCCUGCUUUUCUAGCCUCUCUAAGGGUUGCAAGUCCUCCUUCAACACAGCAAUUCUCUGCUGCCUAUUUUUGUCUUUACAGAUUAGAGAACAGGUCCUAGAUGUCCAAAGGAGAAGGUAUCAAGUGAGUGAGAGUUCAAAUCAAGUUUCAUAGUGGUUCUAAAUGCCUGUACUGUCUGCUUCUUCUAGAUCUAGUUUUCUCUCCUCUUGCCAUUGCAACAGUGCUGCAUCUCAUUGCACAGCCUCAGCUGAUGCUUAUUUCCUACUUCUGAAGCUCUCACAAACACAGAUUAUUAUGGAGAGGAGAUAGAUGAUUUGAUAGGACAAGAAUGAAUGUCUAAAUUAAAAAAGGGGAGAUCUAGAUUGGAUGUCAAGGGAAAAUUUUUCACUGAGAGGGUGAUGAGGCGCUGGCACUGCUGCCCAGAGAAGUUGUGGGUGCCCCAUUCCUGGAGGUCCUCAAGACCAGAUUGGGUGGGGCCCUGGGCAGCCUGAUCCAGUGAAUUGCAACCCUUACCAUGACAGGGGGUUGGAGCUCAAUGAUCUCUGAGGUCCCUUCCAAUCCAAGAUAUUCUCAUUCUCUUCAGAGAGGAGUAAGAUUUUUUUUUUUUCCAACAACCAGCUAUGCAUCUCUGCUCAACUACAUAAAUCCUCUGAAUUUUCUUCUGCUUUUUAUUUUUUUAAAUCCACAGAUUUUUCUUUCGUAUGGUUUAACAUCGGGUGGGCAGCACUCUCCUUGCAAGACACAAUGGCAUAAUGAAAUUUGCAGAGCAGUAAUUGCGUGAUGAAAACAUUUGUCUUUUUAGCCAUGGUGUGGCUGAGGGAUGGAGAGAGUAGAGGUCAUAUAGAAUAACAGAAUUGUUUGAGUUUGAAGGGAUGUUCACAGGUCAUCUAGUCCAACUCUGCUGCAAUGACCAGAGUCAUCUAUAGCGAGACUAGGAUUCUCAGGGCCUGUCCAGCCUGACCUUGAAUGUCUCCAGGGACAGGGCAUCCACAUCACUGGGCAGCUUAUGCCAGUGCUUCACUACCCUUAUCAUAAAAAAAACUUUGUUAUAUCCAGUCUAAGUCUUCCCUUUUCUGAUUUGAAGCCAUUUCUCCUUGUUCUAUCACAACAGACCCUGCUACACAGUCUGUCCCCUUCUUUCUCACAGUCCCCCUUUAGAUACUGAAAGGCCGCUCUAAGGUCUCUGCGCAGCCUCCUCUUCCCAAAGCUGAACAACCCCAGCUCUCUCAGCCUGUCCUCAUAGGAGAGGUGUCUGCCCUCCUACCAAUCACUGUCCCUCCAUAUCACCAGAAACAUGGUAUGCUUUUUUCCCUCCACAGCAGGGUCAGUUCACUCCUUUACUAACCCAAGAUCUGCUUUUCUAGCACUGUCCCAAGAAGCCAGCACGGCAGUAACAUCCAGAAAUGAGGUAAAUCGCAUCAUUUAUGAACUGAUUCUUCUGGGAAAUAAGUCAUUCUCAGCUGGAUUGUGCUGGCUGCCUACAUAGAUGGUUUGUUAAGCUGUUAUCUUAGGAUGUGUUUGUUUAUCAGGAAGGAACAAGGAAACGUGUAUGAGCAGGCAGGGUUUUUAUUCUGCAGUAAGGAGAUUUUGUCACAUGAAAAUUAUUUUUUUUAAUCAAUUCUGAAGGUUAACAUAAUGAUUCUGCCUUUAAAAAGCUACAUGUGAUUUAUAUGAUCAUCUUUAAAUUCACGUAACUGAACUUUAAGUGUGCUCAGCUUAUAUCUACAGAGGAAAGUUCCCACACCCCAUAGGGAGUAUGAGUAGUCCAAGUCCAAAAGACAGCUCAUCCAGGGCAAAGAGUGGGUGCCCCACAGCAGCAAGGUGCAAUAACAGUAUGGAGGCACUGCUGUGAUGGCAGCCACAGCACUUUUCAGGGCAGACGAGCCUUGAGAAGGGGGUGUUGCACUGACUCACCAGUCUCCAUGACACUGCAGAAACAGAGGCAAGAGAUGAUGGUGGGAGGGAGGUGGGCUCAUUAGCUCUACUGUCAAGACUGAUAACAAAACUUUUAAGUCAGCAGAAGCAAUUUAGAAGCAAAAGGCAUUAGAUUUCACAGCUAACUCUCCAAGGAGUCCAGCUCCCAGUACAGCUGUCUCCUCCAAAACAUUCAGAACCUUCAGAAGAGCAGUGAUAACUGGUAAACAGUGCAAGACGCUUUCAGGAAGCUCCCAUGUUUUCCUGUAGACACAAAAGAUUUGCAUUGCUGCCUUGUACUGGGGCCUUCCAGGAGCUAUUGACACUCAGCUCUUACUUCCUGUAUGGAAACAGCUAGUGGGAUUUACAGGAAACCUCUUUCAAUGAAAGAUAUAGUUGGUUCAUGUUAUGGAUGGGGCCCUAAGCAACCUCAUCUAGUGCCUGAUUUAGUGUUCAGCAGACCUGCCUGUGGCAGAGGGCUGGAACUAGAUGAUCUUUGAGGUUCCUUCCAUACCAAGCUGUUCUAUGAUUUUAGUGUGGUAGCUCUGUUAGAAUUAAGAAUUGAGGAAUUACAGGAAGAGUGUGCUAUGGUUUGAAUAUAUGACUGACUUUUGAUCCAAGUCAGUAUAUGACAAAUCAAUCUGCUGCAAGUACUGUUGUCCAUACCGACUUUAAAACCACAGCAACACUGAAUUCUUAGUUGCAGUACGGGGAAUUUCUAUUGUUUGUACAUGAGAAAUAAUUAAUAACCUGGCAAAGGCUUAAAUAGUGUUAUGUUAUGGAUAAUGAAUGUCAUUCAUAAUAUUGAUACCUUUCAUCAAGAAGUGUGGAAGGAAAAAUAAUACAAACAAAUCAAAGCAUGAAAGAAAAAUCAUAGGAAGGUUGUACUAGGUCAUGGCUGGCAGAUGUUAUGUCACCUUGUUCUGCGCUUGUGUGCAUACUCCCUUAUUUAGUUGAAUGCCUUAUUUAGUUGAAUGGAAUAAAAAUUCUUCUUGACAGGAAAGAACCCUGGAGGAUCCUGGAUCCUCUGUACCAGUCAAGACAAGAAGCAAAGAAAUUGUAGAGGACUUUAGGGGAAAUCUGUGUAUUUUCCUUUGCUGCUUGUAAAAUAUAAGAAGCAGUUGUGAACAUAGGGAGCGUCAGAAGUUAUUUGUGUGAAUGGUGUUUGACUUAUGUGUGCAUGUAAAUUUAGGAAUGAGACUUGGACCCAUCUCUCCCCACUUCUGCCACAGCUGUGUACAGGAUCUCUAGGUUUGUAGUCCUUGUCUUCAGUGUGGGGCCAAUAACAGAGAGGAACACAGGGACCUGUGAUAUAUGUUAGAUCAGGCUGUGUCUGCAUGCUUGCUCAGUGCCAUUUUGGUGCAGAAGCCUAUUAAUUGUUUAUUUUUCUGCUAAAAUUUUCUUCCAUCCUCCUUUCAAGAUAGUGCUCUCCACUGUAUGUGUGCAUAGUAUGACAUCAUGCUGUAAGAUAAAAAGGGAAUAAGGCUGUUAAAAUUGUGAAGACACUGUGGAAGUUUCCAUAUGAAUUAUGCUAGAGUUCAGAAGAUAUGACAGAAGAGAAAUUUAAGACUAUACAAUUGCAGUCAUUUUUUUUGUAAUUAUUCCAUUUCAGUAAGGAAACAAUAAUGAUCCAGCAGCCAUCUUCUCUACACAAAUAAUGUUCCAUUUACUUUAGAAACUAAACAGCCAGGCAAAACUUUUGCCAAGGUUCAUGAAGGUAUUCUAAAGCCUUUUUUAAUACAGGUUUCCAUUAGAUGUAAUGACUUAUCAUUUAGCUAAUUGUACAAAAAGCUCUCUAGACACAUCUCUUCAAGACCUAAUUUUAGCAAUAAUAUAUUAUUUUUACAUCAGUUCCUAGAGUACAAAAGCUUUUUUCUUGCUAAUGUCCCAGUCCAUGUGAAGUCAGAAACUUAUCUAGGCAAUGAAGGCAUUUGGUGGCACUCUGAUCAGUCUCAACAAAUGCAUUGAUUUUCUUCUCUAUCACUGGACAUUUCUUUGCCUUUCUUGAUGUGCCAAAUGAACUGAAGAAAUUAAAAUUAUGAAAUACAAGAUCAGGAAUGGGCUGGUAUAAUUCUAUCAAUGAUUUAAAGUAAAUGUUCUGACAUAAACAGUUUCAAAUUUUCUUGCCACAUUGCAACUUAAAAUAGGAAAUAUAUUUCCAAGUAGAAUUUCAAACAUCUUGCUGUAGCUAGGUUUUCAAAACAACAUUUUCUAUAAAAUGUUUUAUUUGUUGUGUUUUCCCAUUUUACUUUGUUGGGGCACUACAACUCUAUUACCUUAUACUUGCUUUGUCUUCAAUUGGUUUUGCUUCUUGUUCCUAUUCGCUCUGUCAAAUCAGUCUGACAACAAUGCUGUACAAAUGUGUGGCCAAAAUCCUUGUUUAGAUGAAUCCUUAUUUAGAUGUGCAAGUUUGUUGGGGUUUUUUGUUUGUUUGUUUGUUUUGUUUGUUUCUUAAUCCUGUUAAUUAUAUUUGACCUCUCGUCUAUUCUGAAUGCAAGUAUUAGUUGUGUAUGCUCCUGAAAUUUUGGAUGGCAACUCAAAAUAGGAGUAUGAGAGGCAAUUUCUUACACUCCCAAAUAUUGUUUAGUCCAAGUGUUCCACAGUAGACAUUUUAAGGAGAAACUUAGUCCUCCUAAAUUUGUUAAAGUAAUUCUUACUGUGUUUUGAUAUCAUGUGUAUCUAGGUGAAAACAAACUGCAUUGUAAGCUUGUAAAUCCUGGUGGAAAGACUGAGAAGGGAUUGUGUCAUAGCCUGUAAGUAUCUAAUGGGCAAGUGCCAAGUGGAUGGGACAGGACAAGGGGUACCACUCUUUUCAGUGGUACCCAGGGACAGGACAAGGGGCAAUGGGCACAAACUGGAACACAGGAUGUUCCUUACAAGGAACAUUUCUUUCCUUUGAGGCUGACAUAGCACUGGAACAGGCUGCCCAGAGAGGUUGUGGAGCCUCCUUCUUUGGAGACAUUCCAAACCAACCUAUGCAACCUGCUGUAGGGAACUUGCUUUAGCAGAGGCUGAACUCAGUGAUCUCCAGAGGUCCUUUUCAACCUCUGUGAUUCUGUGAAAUGCAACCUAUCUCCAGUGUGAAAUCCUGAAGGAAGUUCUCAAGUUUGAGACUGCAUUUAGGAGGCACAUUUCCAGAGUCAACAAUGGGAGCAAAGAGGAUAUUAGCUCCGUAUUUGCCCUUUGUGGUUUAAUAUGCACUCUGGGUCAUAAUGCUGCUCCUGCACAACACCUUCACUAUUAAGGACGGACGGAGGAACCCAUCAAGAAAAAACACUUACAUAACACUUAGAAAAAAGAAGCUGAAAUCUCACAACAGAUAUUUCAAAAUUCAAUAUUUCAAUAAAAGUUUAAAGUAGAGGUAGAGUGAAACUCUAAUAAAUAGUUGUUUCUUGACUAAAUGAGUACUCUAGAAUUAUGCAGCUUUAUGCAACUCACAUACAGCAGAAAUACAUCGUGCUGACUUCUUAGAAUAAAGAGCUAAAUGAAAUUAAACUACUUGAAAAAAAGCAGAUAGAAACUGAUCUGGGAAACAUGACAGAAUCAAUUUAACAUCAUGGUAAAUAAAAAUUUGAAAGUAAAGUUGGUCUAAAACUAAAAUUGUAUAUUAUAAAAGCAAGCAAUUAAAAAAGCUUCUAGAGAUGGUAGUGACAUUUUGUGAGGAAAACACCAAAAGAUUUUUUUCUGUAAUACCUCAUGAAAAAAAUGAACAGUGGAACCCAUAGUUCAUUUUUCAUGGGUGAAAGAAGGAAAUCGGCAUCCAAGGAGAAUCAGUAAGAAAGAAGAUUGAUAAAGUUUAUUCAUCUCCAAAACUAAACAAACAUUCUCCCCGCAAAUCUAAGAUUUCAAAAUAUGAAAGAAACCUCGUGAAAAGAUGGAGAAAUACAAUUGCCAUGGGUAAAAUGGUGGAUCCAAAAUGCUUGGAAAUGUAAAAUCAUGGGGAAGAUAAAUGAGAAAAGGAAAGAGAAACACUCAGUGUUACAAAGGGCAAAGUAAAAUGCUGACUAGAGACUACAUUUUAUUUAAUUAAAAUAACUAUUCACAAACUGGAGAUUAGGCUGAAUGAAACAACUUUGUUUUAGUAGUAGCAGGAUGACUGGAUGGUGGCAUUGGGAAUAUGGUAAUCUCUGGAUCGUGUACAAAUUCAAGCAGUUAUUUAUAUGUGUAGGGGAAAGGGUGAAAGACCUGGAUGUGAGAAAGAGAAGAAAGUAAAAAUUAAGAAAAUUAUUGGUUUUAGGAUACUCAACAAAGCAAAACACUUGGUACAUUAUGGGAAAAAAAAAGCUAAAAGUCAUAUAGGAAAACAUUAAAAUGCGAUACAUGAUCAGAGAACAACUGAGGAAUCCUUGAAAAUAGAGAAAGACAUUUGCAAGAAGUGUAAUGUGGAAUGGCAGACAUUCAGAAAACACUGAAAGAAAAAUGUAACAUGAGGCUUUAUAUAUGUGUUUUAUUUAUUUUCAAGUGUGGAAGAAUGGAAAGAGGGGGGUUUCUAAUUCCAAGCCACAGCUUCACAUAAAAAGAGCAACAGACAUUACCAUCUUGGAUGGGACCUACAUUCCCACCAGUAAGUAUCAGCAUGGUGUGCGGAAGAUAUAGAGCUCUUUAAAGCAGUUCCUUUCAACUGAAUAACUGUUCACUAAGGUAAUUAUUUAUGAUAACCAACUAUGAACCUAACAAUAGUUUUUACUAGCAGCUAAUUUACACAAUAUGGGCAUUUAUCUUCUCUUUUUGCUUAGUCUGAAGGCAGUUCAAUGGGCUUUAUGAAGGAAUUAUGUCAGGUAUUGAAUGUGGAAGGACCAUGGGGCUUUCUUAAGGAAAUAUUGUAAUGACAGCAAAAGCAUAAAAGCAGGAAAAAAAAUUAAAUUAAAUUAAAUUAAAACAAAACUUUUCUCUGCAGGCUAAUUUUAAGGUCAGUAGAUUAUAAACCAUUAUCGAAGAUGCUUUAAUUCUUUUUAAAUGAGAAUGGAGUGUUUUAGAGUCUGAGACAGCAGCACUGACCAUAAUAGGGAAAAAGAAAGGUCUUUCCAGACCAGUAUCUGGUCUUCAAUUGGGUCUACAUGUACAAGAGGGAAUAGGCAGAGCAAUUUAUUUUAUUUUUAGUAGUGUUUUAUAGAGAAGAUGUAAUUGACCUAACUGAGUUAGAGGUGGUUGUGUUCUGCUGAUUCUGCCAUACUCCCUACUGGGAUAUCUUAUUAAGUUUCCUUAAUUCUCAUAUUUAAAAAUAUAUUUUGUUUUUGAAAUAACAAAGCAGAAGAUUAAAUGUAGCAAGUCUGCAAAUGCUAUAUCCCAUCCAGCUGGCUAGAGUUCCUAUUUCUAGUCUGUCUGUAUCCAGCUGUUGUUUCCUUCUCUUGCUGCAAGCCCAGAAUUGUCUUUUUUUGCAUGGUCACAGAACACAGAACAGCUCACACUGUCUGGUCAUAUUUCAUAACACAACAGCACAACCCCCAUAAUACUAAUACUUGGUUUAUGUAAUGCAAAUAGUGGUUUAAGUAAUGCAAAUACAGCAUUAAAUGGUCUGUCCCUGGCUCAUUCUGUUUAUCGGACUGUACUAUAUCAUUUUGCUAUCUCACCUUCUCUUCUGUUGUUCUCUAGAACAGAUACUCUAAAUAGCAGAAUGGUUAUAGGAUCCUCCAGCUUUUUACCACGACAAAUUUUGACUGAAUAGGAACCGUAAGUUCUGAAACUGAAAGAAUCAGCUGUACUUCUAUAUAUCAACAAAUGUCUUUGUUCCUGAGGUAGCUGAAAUAUUGAGGCAGCUGAAAUGCAGACAGAAAUAUCUCUCUGCAGUGCUGCACAGCUCAGGGGCUGUCUCAGUCCCACCCAGCAUUUCAUCUGGCGGUGCCUGCAGCCUCACUUGUGCCAUCUGCGUGAUCAGGCUGCUCAAAAACAAAAUGAAUACAUCCUGCUCGUCAGUUUUACUCUGAGGAGGAUGCACUUCAAAGAGAAAAUGUGAUUUCAUGAUGUGUAUUUAGAAGCUGUUGCACAUGGCAGCGUUUCUGAUGGUAAAACAAAUUCAGAUUUUCCCAGCCACUCUUUUUGCUUCUUCCCACCACAUACACCAUUUAUUACCCCUUCAGAUUACUAAUUCAUCAGAUAAAUAAAAAGAUUACAAAGAGGAAGGAUAGAGGGGAAGGAAAGAGGGAAGAGGGAAUGGAGAAAGGCUAUAUAACCCAAAAGAGUUUUUUAAAAAAUGAAUUUAUUGCAAAAACAGUUGAGUAAGCAUCACUGAAGGAGCAGUAGUGAGAGAGGAUGGAGAACGGGAAGGCAGGAAGCUCCUGUGCUGCUGUAAGGAAGUUCAGAGGUGGGAUUGGAUUGCACUUUGAAACAUUGCCAGGGGAAUGGGCUCCAGGAGCAAGGAGGGCUUUGCUGUUUCCUUGCAACCUUGGAAUUCUCUCCUAAGAUAUUGUGACACAGUCUCAGCAACUGGAGGAGCUCAGAGGCUUGGAUAACAGAAAGGGCAUUGCAUGUAACUCAUUCUCCAGCCACUAUAAAAUUGUUCUUUAAUGCUAUUUGCUAUGUAUUUCUACUCUGGAGAUAGCCAGGUCCUAACAUAGGGUUUCCAUUUAGUUCCUUUUGGAAAUUUUUUAAUGCAAAAGAUCUUUCAAUAGGAUUUGCCUUAUUUUUUCCUCUUAUUAUUUAGUCAAGUUUUGUCCUCUGUUGUUUUCCAUUUUCAAAUCAGGCCACGCUUGAUUGUUACACAUACAGACAAGCUGCACUGUCUAACAUCUGAUUUUUUUUUUUCAUUUAAAAAAAAAAUGAACGCUUUUAUAUCACUCUUUCUCAUGUUACCAAUCUUCCAUACCUCUGAUAAUGAAACAUCUUUGUGCCCCAGAUUGAAUUGUAUUUCUCAUCUUUCUUCCAGAGCAAAGCUGGAAAUUAAAUACUGUUGUUCAAUAAGCUCUUCACAAAAACAGGUGUUGAGUUUAAAAUGCUGAAAACCUAUGCUCUUUGUACUGAGCAAGUGAUUUUGAUGUGACUUGUAUUUGAUUCUUUACAUUUCUGUUCUUGUGCCCAUAAUAGUAGCAAGAAUGCAGAAAGCAUCCUGUGUCCCUUCCAUAUCCACAGAGGCAGAGAGGGCCUUGAUCCGUGAGUGCAGUCAUGGUGGUUAACUUCAAUCAAACCUAUCUUUCCUAGAGAAUUAGGAAGGUGGUUGCAAAAAAGCCCUUAUAGGAUCUCUUUCUAAAUACUAUGCUAUCUGGAACACAUUUCAUUGUUUAUAUUGAUUUGAAAAACAAAGCAUCAUGAGCACUGACCAAUUGCAUGGCUGUCUUGCGAUAGUUGCUUGCAGAGCUGAACAGAGUCACCAGGAUAUCCUCAGACCAACUUGUAAUCACCAAGUUCAGCUUUAAGAAAGCCAAUUAGAGAGCUGUGUUAGCCAUACAGUAAAGCAGGAAAACCAGACCAGAAUGAAUCUACUGGUAGUAUGAGAGCACAUCUCUUACAAGCUGUGCCCCAGAGAUCUGUCUUUGUCUUCACCAUUCAUGGAGACAGGCAAACAAGGUAUGCUGAAGUGACACAGAAUUGUCAAAUUUGGGCCUCUGUAAAUCAAAAUUACAUUCUCUGACUGGAGAUCCUUUUCUGGAAAUGUCUGGCCUCCAGCCUUCACAAAUCAACACUAAAGAGAGUUAAAUGUCAUCACAGAUUAUAUCUUGCAUCAACAAUUUUCCCUGUACACUAUAUCCCAUAUGUAGAUGUUAUUUCCUUCCAUAUGGGCAGGAAAAACCUGCCUCAGCUGCAGUGAGCAGAGACCUUAACUAAAACAUCAGCUGAAGGAGGAGCCUCCAGCUGGUAGGAGAUGAACUCCUACUAUGCUCCAGCUACUCCUGGGACAGCAGAAAUCUGUUCAUGGCCAUGGAGUCAAAUAAUAAUUUAAGAAAAAAAUGUUCUGGCUUUUGUUAAUUGGAAGCCAUUCAUAGAGGAAUCAAAAUCUGAGAACCAGACUUUGGAAGGGCGAUGGGGGAAUUCAUUGGUCAGCUGUCAAGUCAGAUGUCAGAAAACACUAAACUUACUCUUCUUAAAUAGUGCAGUCCCGAAAGUCAGCAAAGUUGAUUCUUUCUCCUGGGGCCUUUGCUUCAGAAUGUCCCUCUGGCUGCAAUUUGUCUCUUCAAACCACCUUUCCAUGUAGAUGUGCUCUGAGAUCAUUACUACCUCAAGGAAUCUAAAACAUUCCUUUCUUCAGAACAGUAACCACGUGGCUGGAAAACAGGAGAGGAGAGAGUGGGAAAAGUGUGUGGAAGGCUGGGAGAUUCCUUCAGCAUUUUCUGGAAUUUUUGGCGAAUAAUCUCUGCUCAUGUGAAAAAAAAAUAGUAUGAUACUCAAUUUCUCUAAUUUUCUCUGCUUUUUUAGCUCUGUCAUAGCACUAUAUUGACUGUUCUGAACAGUAUGAUUUCUUGGAAAUUAAACAUAACUGGAUAGCUAUUCAGUACUGUAAAAUGCAUUGAUUGAAGUCCUAGUUAUCAUUUUUAGAUGUAGAAGUAACAUAUAAAUAUUUAUGCAUUCCAUAAUAUUAAAAAAAAAAAAAAAGAAAACCAUUUGAUUGUACUAAACCUAAACCUAGCAAUUAAUAGGCUUUAGCUGGCAGUCUUAUUGUACCCUAUCACAACUGUGAAAAUGUGCCAGCAAAGAGUAACCCAGUAUACUUCUGCAUAAGACAUAAAAAAUAUAAGCAUAAUGACAUUUAUUUUUUCAAAGAAUAAUGGCCUUCCUUGAGCUAUGCCAGUUAGAAAUAUUGUAGCCUGUGCAAGUGGAACAGAAUGGAAAUCAGAUUAUAGAUUACUGUGAUCUAAAUCAUUUAAGCAUUCCCCUUUUCCUCCUCCUUUCCUCAGUCAUACUGUGCUUCUCUUUCCUGAGUAAAGGUUAUUCAUUGGAUAAAUACUAGUUUUUUAUCCUGAAAAUCUUUUUGCUGUUUUUCUUCAUUAUUGCUUCUUUUCCUUGUGAGUUAGUGUUCGAUAUAAUAGAGUAUUUGAAGGGAAAAUAUUCAAAUUGUACUAUUAGGUGCUUUCAAACUGACAUCUUUAUUUAAAGCUAUAAUCAGGACCAAACCAAGAAUGAAGGUAAUCACAUUUAUUCAUUCAUUUUUAUUAAUUUUGCUAUCAAAAAUUUCCAGCUCUACUUAGCAGGCCACACUGGGCCUGUGUAAUGGGUGCUCAGAUGCCAGAAGUUUCAGACAACUAUAUAAUAAGCUGUCUGAAAUAAAAUAUGAAAGUAUUAACAGCAAGUUCUUUUUGUUUAAACAGUUAUUGAUAUAAGAAACCCACAGUCCUUCCAGCAGUGAAAGUGCUGUAGAAACACUAAGUAGCACUGGUGUUUCUGAGAAAAUGCUGAGUUUUACUUCUUGGGUUUAAAACUAUUUCAUCCACACCAUAUGCAAAUCUAUUUAGGAAACUGAUCUCUAACUUAAAUAUUGGAGAAAACCUCAUAGGAUAGGUAUGUAUUUUCACCCUGAUAUUCCUUUGGUUAGGGUUUAGUUUUAGUCUAAAAAUCGAUAAACAAUAUCACAGCAAGUCUUCGUGAACCUUUGAAAAAUGUCAGUUUUAAAGGUGUACUUUGAAAAACAUGAAAAAAAAAUGUUGAAAAAAGUUUUUGGAGGCAAGUUGGGGGUCAUAUUAUUUACUUCACUGAGUGGCUGCUUCAGACAUUAUGGACAUGGUUGUGUGGGAAAUGCUGGUGAUAGGACUCGAUGAUCUUAGAGGUCUUUUCCAACCUUGGUGACUCUGUGAUUAAUUGCGGUCCUUAUUUUUUUGAGUCACCUAAAUGCGCCUCUGUAAGCAGUGAAAGAAUCAGCUCUAUUUGUUCAAAAAAUAUUUCCAUCACUGUAAGUAUCGUAUUUCAUUGCACAUUAUGGAGCCCAAAUUUUCAUUGGUUAAGAUGAGCCAGCUGGAGUUUCUAUUCUGCUAAAUUCUAAUGUAAGGGGAAUUACUGUUUCCCACCACAGAAAUUCUGGGAGCCUUCAGGCCACCUACAGGCAGGUUACGGCCAACCCCAUUUGGCAUUUUAAUCACUGCCUGUGCUCAGGGAGAACCCUCUGCCUUACAGAGGGCACCUGGGCUCAGUUUCUGGCUCUCUCCUGGCACCCGUCAGGUUGCCCUGAUGAGAAGUAUUGCACUGCAAAAUCCAGGCUUAAUCUGGCUGUACUGAAGACAAUGCAGUUGGAUAAAUUGAUUCAUCCUAUUAACUGUCUUUCCCAUAAAUGUAUAAUACCAGCUAUCGGGAAGCAUUAGUACUCUGCUGCUGUGAGAGGUGGGACACCCACGAGCCUUGUGUGGAGUAAUAUAUUUGCACACUGCUGCUUAUUAGCCAUUUCUAAAAAAAGGGAAAUGAGAAUGCAAUUAUAAUGGGAUUACAUGUGUUUUUUGUUUUUUUUUUUUUCUUGUUUUAACUUGUUCAUGUAAUAAUCCUUGUUGGAGGGGCUGGAGGACAGCUGGAUCUUCUACUGGAGCUUUCCCAGGUUAUAUCAUAGUGAAAGCUAUGACCAUUUUCAGUGGAUCUCAUCAAAAUAAUUUAAACUUCCUAUGCAAUGACAUACACAUUUCAUUUGAUUAUUUAAUAAAAGACAGUAACUAUUGUGAAAACUUGAAUUAUGGGUACAUCACGACCUGCUGCCUCCAGCAUUUAAUCACCCUAUUAAUCCUGCUCUGGCUAUGCACCCACUGGAAAUACUCCCAUGAAAAACAGAACUAAGUGAAUGUUGUAGAAAAUAAGUUUGGUGGUUCUUAACUUGAGAAAGUUUCUCAUAAAUCAUUCAUUACCACUGUAAGGCCUGAGUAAGGAGAGCAGCAAAGACUUUGGUUGUCUCUUCUUUUGAAAUUUAAUGAAUAAACCACAAUCCAAAACAUUAUUCUAAUAUCAGUUUCAGCAACUGGAAAAAAACUUUCAGUGAUAUUUAUCACAUUUCAGGAUUUCUAUGAAGCUUAAAAUUCAUAAAUAUUAAAAUAGACUCUUAUCACUUAAAUGCAGUAGUUUCAACAAAUAUACCUGCUGUUUACCGCUUAAAUAGUUCAUUAAUAUUCAAAAUCAGCUGCAUUGCAAAGAGGGAAGACAGUUAUUUAGUAUGAUCAGAAGUAUAAAAAUAUCUACUUAUCACUCCCUUGGAAGUCUGCAGCCCCUUAACUCUUCCAGAGAUACUUAAGUGCACUUUUCAUUUCAAAAACUGCUUUGAUAAACCUUUUUACUAGAUGGUCUAGAGGUCUUUUCCAAACUUUAUGAUUCUAUGUGAAAUAGAGCUUUUCGACCACCUAUACCCAGCAAGUUCCUGCUAUGCAAUGCUGUUCCCCACUAAUGCCUCAACAGCCUGAUCAGGGAUGAGCCCAAGGGUGCAACACUGCAAUGCCAGCCCAAUAGUUUGGGGGCCAGCUUUUAAGUCUUGCCAAAAAAAAGUCAUGCUUAAUUCCCUGUUCCCAGUAGAAACAACUACAGGAGGAGUUACCCUUCCACUGUGUAAUUUAUUAAUAAUUGAGAUGAUCUUCAAGUUAUGUGAUGAAUGUUUCCGUUUGUUGACAGUCUUCAUUAAGCAGGAAAUCUUUUCAGUGUAUUUAAUAUCAGAUUACCUAUUUCAUAAUUUUUUUGUCGGUAAAUACACUUGGAGAGUGAGAAGCAGACAACCAGAAUGUUAGCAUUUAAGAAAAAAAUAAAUUGCUAUAUUCAGGGAGACCAGUAUUUAUUCUAGCAUAGUUACAGUUAUAAAUAAUGUAAUGUAACUUUAGUUUUCCUCUCUUUCAUUAACUUUUAAUACACCUGCCAGAAAACUUGAAUUACAGAUAAGAAGAUGAACUGCUGUUAUUUGGUAUGAAAGGCAGUUGUUUUAAAAAGGGAAAGCAUGGAAGGAUUUCAUUUGAACUCUCUUGUUCUGUUUUCCCUUCCUUUGCACAGGGAGGAAAUAUCAAGUGAAGGCAGAAAUGAGUCUUACUUAUCAGGUAUUGUGCAGUUUGUUUUCUGUUAGAUUUUGUUCAAGGAAGCUUACCCAGAAGGGUUUUUAUAAUAUAUAGGUUUAUGAUAAACAUUAGGCUGCAGAUUAAAUCUGCGCACUGCUCCUAUGCAACAACAGGCAAGUUGGAAAGGACAUAAAGAAAAAGGUAAGUCAGGCAGGAGCCUUUGUAGAGAAUUUUGAAAAACAGGCAAUAAGUCUUUCUGUGAAUUAGUGUCUUGAUGUUUUUAGCACCAGAAGUUUUUGGAAAAUGAGCAGAAUGAGUAAUACUGGUUUUGUCCUGCUUCAUGCUGACUAUAGCAACUCCUUUUUCAGUUUUCGCAAGCAUUGAAUUCCAAUGAAAUACAUUGCUGGUUACUCAUUCUUCUUAUAGCAAGCAGAAAAGUGUUGAUCAAUAUUACAAAUGCAGGAAAAAAAGCAGAAAGCAGCAUUCUGCUGACCCACAGAAUGUGCUGUCCUCACAAGAAUCCAAUGGUAAUUCUUACUGCUGUGGGAAGAGUUUUUCAGUCCGUUUAUUUUUUUAUUAUUAUUAUUAUUAAUUUUAUCUCAGAAGUAGUGCUGGUUUUGGAGAUUUUCUCUUGAUGCCCAUAAUCCAACACAAGCUCACUUACAGAAAUGUAAGAGUCGUCAAGUGACAGUUGUUUCUCCACAGCAGAAGAGCGGAAGCUGCAAAGCUUCAACACCCCUGAAAUGCUCUGUGCUGUUUUCUGGUUCUAUUUUUUCUCCUGCACCUUGAGAAAUACCAUUAAAUUCAAUGGAAUUCAAUUGCUGCGAAGUCAUCAUGUGUAUGGUUGGACUGGAUGAUCUUGGAGGUCUUUUCCAACCUUGGUAAUUCUAUGAUUCUAUGGUCUGCAGCAAAGACAGUGGAGAGUAUUCUGUCUAGAACAUUACUUUUUCAAGAGCUAACUAUAUUCCGAGGAGAGAAUCUGAGGAACUGCUAGGAAAAAAGAAAAGACAGUUUUAAAUGAUUGGGCUUUAGCAGACUUCUUUUUGGCAAUGCAAAGUGAUUGUAAUACAAAUUAACGACUCAUUUUGUGAGUGCCUCAGACCUCUGAAGGUGAGGUUUUGUCUCAGAACCAAAUAACGAUCCACUGCUGUGAGUUUGUCUUUGGAAUCUGACACAACUGUCAGUUGACACAAAUUAAUCCAUAUAGAACUGAAUUCAAGUUAAUGAGUUUUAAUUUUAACUUGCCUAUAUCAUCCAUUAUAUUGGAAAGUGUAUGCUGUGCUGCAUUUAGAUACAUCAUGACUAACAACAAUCAUAGAAUUGUCUGAGCUUGAAGGGACCCUUAAAGACCACGUAGUCCAACUCCCUGCAAUGAACAGGGACACCUACAGUUCAUCAGGUGCUCAGAGACCCAUCCAGCCUGAUAUUGGGUGUCUUCAGGUAAGGGAUGUCCACCACAUCUCUGGACAAUAAUGAUUCAUCUUGUAUGCAAAUCUAUAGAGAGAAAAUGUAGACUAUACCUUUCAAUUUCAUUUUGUGCUCUGUUUGUGCCCUCUUUUACUUAUUUGCAGCAGUAAUAACAUUAGCCAAGACCCCAAUAUUCAUAAUACUGUGUUGUUUUUUUUUUAAAGAGCAAUUAUAUUUUAUGGUGUAGGGUGCGUUUGUGCCUGUCUGAGCCAUGAGUGUACCUGAGUGACUACUGGGAGCUGUAGGACUCGGUGUGUGAAAGCAGAGGAGAAAGUGGUGAGGAGCCCCACAUAUAUCUGCAGAGAAGAUGGGGAUCUGUAUACUGAGGAUAUAUUAUAUUCCAGUGGCAGUACUAUGAUCACCAGGUAGCAGCAGUGUAACGUGGUAUAUGGAGAGACAGAAGUGCAGCUCCUCUUUAUGAAGAAGCCAGGAAGCUCAUUGGGAUGAAGGCUAAAAAAGUACAGUUUUAUUAGGAAUGGCGUUUUUGAGUCAUCAAAGAAUACAGUGCUGAAGUUUAAAGAGCAGUUCAAAUGCUGUGAAGCUCGGGAGAUGUGGGACAGACAGCAGCUGCACUCCCUGUGGCAUGUCUCGCGCUCUGGUAAAGCACUUACAUGAAGGACUGCCUCUCUGAUUCAGCACAGCAGUUCCUGUGGACUUAUUACUUAACGCUAAACUAAGCUGCUUCUUUGAUGUUAUUGUUUGUGAGUCGCUGAUCACAUAAAAGUUUUAAACUCAGAAGUCCUGACUGUGGCUGACGUCUGAGUUUCGGGAUUUUUGGCAAAUACAGGAUUUUUUAAUACAUAGCCAAGUUCCAUUAGCGACUCUUUUGAUAUAUGAGUUAAACAAAAGGAGAUCGUCUAAAUGGAAAUUUAUUCAUCAUUAUCAACUCAGAAAUAGUAAUUUUAAAAGAGGUCUCUCUGUUAUCUUAUACUACAUACCAAUUAAAUUUCUUUCACAAUGGCUUAUUUGGUAAUGCUUAUUAUUACUGAUUUAUUCAAAUUACUUUGAAACUAUAUUAAAAUCUUGACAAAAUAGUUGAGAGUAAAUAUUUAGAUAAUAUUGGCAGUUGGGUAUUCUUGACAAAAUAGUUGAGAUUAAAUAUUUAGAUAAUAUUGACAGUUGGGUAUGUAAUACUGCUCAAAGGUGGAAUCUAGAUAGAGGCACAUGCUUGUGUGUAUGCAGACUAGACACGGUCCUUUCCACUCUGCUCUCAUUAGGUAUGCAUUCAUCAACUAAAAACACAAGAAAUCAACAGGACAUGUGAAACAUUUUAUCUGUUCAGGGCCCUGUUCUGUUGUCAUUCCUAAAGAGGCGUGGUUGACCACAAGGGACUGUUGGCCAAAUGGGCAAAGUGUACACUGAGUAAAGGUUUUUGUGGCUGAGCAGUUCUUGGAAUUAAAAAAGUGAUGCUGCCAGACUAAGUUCUAUGUCAGUUUGGGAUUUAUGUUGGUUUUUACAUCUAAAUCUUUAUUUAGAUAGAUCCUUCCCAUUGGUGGCACUUAUCUGGUACUACUCUAUCACAUUGUUUAUUAACAGAUGAUGUCUGAAAGAGUCCUUGCAGCAUUUUAAAAUUAAAUCCUGAUCUCUGAUCUAUUACUCAGUUUAUUAUUUAAAUGUAAUGGGAUAUUUGCCUAAGUAGUACAAGGCAAUCAACUCAGGAACACAGCCUGUCUCUCUAUUAGUUACAUAGAAAAUGGACACAACUCACAGUGUGUUCAUCUUCUGUGAACCAAAUCUGUCGUUGCAUUUACAAGAGAGCAACUGCAAGGCUCUCUGAAACGCCAAACCUAUGUAAACAACAUUAGUAGAAGUAAAAUCUGGGACCUGUGAGUUGUAUUUCUUUAGACCACAUCUUUCGAGGAAAUGAAGGGCUUGAGGAAACCCACUUAAUCACUGGCACUCCCAGAGGAUGCAUUAUAAUUUUCCCACAUACUACUGUCUGAUAGAACUUGACAGCAUCAACACUGCUGACGGCUGCAAAAAGAAUUCUUGCAUCCAGCCCAGGAACAGAAACUGUCACUGAUUCAGGCUUGUCGAAAGAAACCCGCCAGAACUUUUCCUUUCCCACAGACACCCAUUCAGCAAGAUGCUGGGCUACCCUUUACUUUUUACACUGAUUUACAGAGGAAAUGAAAAGCCAUUUCUCCUGUAUAAAGAUGAUAUUUAAUCUGUCAGCUGAUUCUGAUGACACAGUUGUGGUUUAACAUCCUGAGAACAUUAUCUCCUUCUAUUAAAAUUAAUGUUUAGAGAGGAGAGUAAUUUGUUCAUUAUCCACAUGUUAGGUCUGGGGAUAUGCCUGUUAGCCACUUCCUUCCAUAAAUCAUGUGUUUUUCUUCCCUUUUACCCUUGAUAAAUAUAAUUAAUUUUACGUUGUUUUUUUUUUCAUACAUCUCCAAAGUAUUUGACUAGAUCAUCUAAAAUCAUAGCUGCAAAAUUAAAAGUACACCAUAUUAGCAUCAAUGCACGUGACUUCUGGUGCUAUUUUUUGUGUCAUUCUGCCCCAGAAAUCUCUGUUUUAAAUGUAGUGGUAUCUGUUUUGGUGUUCUUCAAAGAUGAGUCUUGAGAAUUUCUUCUUACUUCCAGUGACGGUGGCAAUAAAAUUUCUAAUCAUCUUAAACUGUGCUGUGCAGAGAAAAAGAGAGAGCAUGAAUUACAGUGGCUCUUAAGAGAAAGAAAAAUGUUAGAUUUUUGGUGAUAGAUGAGUGGGUAUUUUAUUAAUAAUUUUUCCUAAAAUCACUUUUAAAUUAUUCAGGCUGUCUCUUCCAUUGAAAUAUCAUCAAAUAUUUGGUAAGAGUACUUUUGAAACAUACGGAGCGUAGACUCCAGAAAGUAGACUCUCAGCCAUUAAUGACUGAUUUUCCUUUAUUACCAUAUGAAAUGUUUCUUCUUAUUAGAAGUCAUGAUAUAGGUAUAAAUGAGAGAACUGCAGAACAACACAUUCUGGAAGGGACUUGUGGAGAUCAUCUGGUUUGAGCCUCUGGCUAAAGUAGGGCUUGGAUUAGAUUAUGCAAGAACAUGGCAGGUCAGGUCUUGAGUUUUUUCCAGUAAUGGAGAUUUCACCACUUCUCUGGGUGACCUCUUUCAAUAUUUAAUUGUUCUCAAAGUGACAAUAUUUCUCUUAUACCUAGAUGGAAUUUCCCCCAAAGCAACUUGUGUCCUUCACCUCUUGUUCUGACACACAGCAUAUCAUUGAAGAAAUCACCUCCAUCUUCUUUGCAAUGGCCUCUCUUCAAACAUCAAGUUCUGUAGCCUCUAAUCAUCUUCAUGACCCUCCUGUAGACUCCUUCCAUUUCUUAAAGUAUCUUUUGACCUCGGGGAAAAAUGAAAAUUGGAUACAGUAUUCCAGAUGUGACCUAAGAAGUGCAGAAUAGAGGUGGAAUAAUUGCAUCCCAGUGCAAAACAUUUCAGCAGAAGCAGGUUUUUCAGAAAACUAAUGCUAGAAUCUGGUUUCCUGCUAAAAUUUAUUGGACUCAAUGGUUUUCCUUUGAUUUUUAAGUAGACAUGAUUAGAAGUAAUAUAUUUAUUUAUCUGGCUGGGAUUCAUCUAGUUUUGCUUUGAGUAUAAUUGAUAGAGCUGCUCAGAUCCACUCAUCCUGUCAUUUAUCACUUGCUUCCACCAGUGUUCCUUGCCCAAUAGUUUUAUCUUUUUAUUUACAUUUGAGAUGCUGACCAAAGUGUUCUUUGGAAAGGAUUUACUGGUUAAUGCAAGCCUUUGUUGCUUGUCUGCAUUUGUCCACUGAUGAUGAUGCCAUGUUUCAGAGAAAUGUAAAAAUGACUUGCAUUUCUUCAGACAAGAGGGGAACACCAGCCUCUGCUAGCCCUUCAAGUCUUUGACCUCUGCUAUGCCCUCCUGCUUUAUCACCCAUGUACUUCAGCAUCUUCCAAAUUUCCUGCUGCAACAGCCUGCCUCUGCCCCAUUUGACAGCCCCGAGCUGGGCAAGAUAAAAUUGCAGACCAUCCCAUGACAUGGUGAGAGCAGACACAUUAGCAUCUGCAAUAUGCUGAGGGGAUUCAUAUCCACAAAAAAGAUAUAUAGGGCCACAGAGCCCUAAUCGGUCUCUUUAUUGCCCAGAUACUUACACUGAAUGCAAGGUGUUGCAUUUCCUUAGGCACCUGUAAAUACAUUAAGGUAAAACUGAAGCUAUUUCAAGCCAUUUCUUUGCUUCUUCCCUUGUAGGUUACACAGUAUUUGCAAAGACUUUUCAUUGGUGGUGGUGUUGGUUUUAAUUAAGACAUUAAAAUAAUAAAACUGAGAUUUUAAAAACUUAAUUGUCUGUGGAUUAGCCACUGUCUUAAGACUAUUUUUUCAAAGGCAUGCAGCAUUCAUAGAAGCACCAAUAUUAGGCACAGAUUUUAAAAUGUUGGGGAAUGGUUCAAAGCUCAAGGAAGGAAGAUUUAGGUUAGAUGUCAGGGGGAAGUUCUUUACCAUGAGAGUAGUGAUGUGCUGGAUCAGGCUGUUCAGAGAGGUUGUGGAUGCCCCGUCCCUGGAGGUGUUCAAGGCCAGGUUGGAUGGGGCCCUGGGCAGCCUGGUCUAGUACCAAAUCUGAGGUCUGUGGCUCUGCCUGUGGCAGCGGGGUUGGAGUUUGAUCCUUGGGGUCCCUUCCAGCCUAAGCCAUUCUAUGAUUCUAUGAUCAUAGUAUAUUUUUUUCUCUCAAAAGACUAGGGUCUUAAAAAAUUUGAUCUUUUGGAGUAGUUGACCUUCAAAGUUCCUCUCAACCCAAGCAGUUCUGUGAUUCCAUGAAAAAUAUUUUUGCAGUGUUUGGCACUUACAUAGAAAUCCAUGGUACUGCUUGAUUUACGCAUUGCAGCUACCUAGUUAAAUGAUCCAAAAUGCAAAUCUGGUUUUCUCUUCCAUAAAACACAUUAAACUAUCUGAAAGUUCAUUAAAAACUUCAAAAAUUACUGCUAUGCUUCAGUCACCAUUUGAUUUGGAUCACCCUUAUGCUACUUCAAUUUCUGGACAGAAAGAGAGGGGAAAAAUGGGUGCUGUAAAAUAAAUAUUAUAUUUUUAAAUGAAUCAUCAUGAAAAGGGAUAUUUGGAGCUAUUCACAGCAAAUUUUUCUUUAACAAAGCCAGUGCUCUGGGCAGAUAGACUAUUAUCAUCCUUUCUGCUUGUAACUAUAGAUAAAUACAGAACAUUUGAAGAUUUUACCUUUGUUUCUCUUUGCACUGAGACUGAUAUUCUUGGUUAAAGCUUUAAAUUAUUUAUUUCAUUUGAUUAACACAAUAACCAUGGACUGGACUAGAUCAUUUUUUUUCAUACAAAAGAUGGUAUUGUAUCCUAUUUCUAUAGCUGCAUUACCACAGAGUUCUACUUGCAAACAACUUGCUUGAAAAAAAAAAAUGGGUCUUGCUUUUUUUCUCUUCAUGGAAUAUUUGCAGUCAGAAUAGUGUUUAUGAAUUUGUUCCUACUUUAUAUGGUUCGAUGAACAGAUUUUGUGAUUGCUGUCUAGUUCUGUACUGUUUGCCAACUGAUGACAGAAGGUAUUCGGGCAAUUAUAUGAAAUUCACUAUUUCAUUUUGAUGGCAGGUCAAACGCUUGUCUCAGUAUUGUCUUUUCCUCACUAAGCUCAUUAAAGAACUGAAUUAAUCCUCGUUUAAUUUACACCCAUCUUCAGAGGCAGCUCAGAAGUUCUCAGAAGGAUAGGAAAGAUUCAAUCCUGUUGUCCCUUGGAUAUGGAACCAGGGGACUUCCAUGCUGCUCCAGCUGUGGGAUGGGAAAGGACUAGAGAUAAGAAUGGGACCAAGUUAAAAACUGCUAUUCUGGCUGCUAUUAAGGGAGGAUUAAAUUUGUCUGUAUGAGGGAGAAGGGCCACUGCUUAGAGCUGUAGUUCCUGUGCUUCAGAUCUUGGUUCUUCUCUUAUUUUGGGAGUGCAGUGAGGGAUGGGGCAGAUGAAGAGGCAAAAACAUGGAACUGGCUAAACCUAGCAAAAAUGAACCUCAAGCACUGGGGCAGUGAGAACUCAGCUCUCUACCAAAAUCAAGGAACACUUGGUGGUAGGGAGAUGGGCUUUUCAUUGCAAUCUUCUUGCUCAGGGAUCCACCAGCCAUUUACAGACAUUUUCAGUGUGUGCUGCGUAAGUGAAGACAGGCAGAAAUGGCAGGUGGAAGCACAUUUUUCAAGAGAGCAGAUGGGAAACAGGCUCAGCAUGACUUAUUGUGCAUAAAUAUAUUGUUAGUUUCCUGCUGUUGUUAUAAGCAAAUGAAUGAUGUAACCCUUCCCCCUUUCAGUCAAGUUGUUUUUUGUGCAGACACAGUAUUUCUGAAAAUCCUGUAUGGGAACUGGAGAAGACUGAGGGUCUAAUCUGUGCACAGGGAGUGCUGUGCUUAUGGCCAUUGGCUGUGUUUUGUUGUUAGAAGGAAAACUCUCAGUACUAGACCAAAACCACUGCAGAAACAUGAUUUAAAAAUCUGAUGCCCUGUAAGCUUGAGCUCUUGAUUCAGUCAUAUUCAGAAAAUUUGAUGAAUUUUAUGUCAGUAUGGCACUAUCUGAGCCUGAGUUGUAACUUUAUGCCAGAUCAAGUAUCAUCUGUCCUCCUACAUCAGGCAUAAAGCCAACAACACCACAUAACAGCAGCAGGAAAUCUGUAACACACAUACUAGCCAGUUGGUUGGAAAGGUAAGAGUAUACCCACUCUCAAUCCAUAAUCAAAUUUGCUUCCUGGUGGUUGUGUAGACAUCAUGAGAUUGUGACUCCUGGCUUUGUGUUCCUCUCUUGGAUUUAGUUUUUGUGACACAAACACAAUUUAUGCUGGAUUCGUGUGUUGUAUGAUUGAAGUACAUUUAUAGGGAACCUAGACAAGCACUCACAUUAAAUAUUACCCAAAACACUAGUUACAUAAAACAUCCUCUGAGCUCAUUAUAUCAGACGCAUUUCAUUUAGCAAUAUGUAGUUAUAUCUUUGUCGCCUAAUAGAAGUUACAGAUUUACAGAUUUACAGAGUUACAGAUACCAAAUAAGUAUGCCUGGGGAAAGUUGAUCAUGAUUUUCUCUUUUUUUGCCACUCAAGUUCUACUGGGAUGUCAGAGAGUCAGAGGAGGUCCAAACAGUAGAACUUAAUUGAAAGAAAUAUUGACUAGAUGUCUGGCAAAGCUGCAGCAUUAGGAAAUCUUCAAGCUAUAAAUACCAAAGAGACAAAGGGUGUCCAGAAAAAUCCAUUUUUUUUAAUGAAGGCGUACUGUGUGUGAACAGGGUUUUCUGCUCUUCGACCAGUUCUGUGCCUAAUCCUGUUUCUAUCUACAUGACUCUUUUAUAGUCUAUCUGUGUCUUACACGUGAGAAGAAGAAUUAUUCCUAAAGGACACAUUUGUUUCUCUAAUUCCCAGUGUGAAGCCAGGUUUGCACUUAACUUUCCACUGUGCUUUUAUGCAUUUAAUUGCACUGUGAAAUCCAAUACUUUGUGUUUGUUUGAAUUAAUAAAAUAAGUCUCCUCAAUGAGCCUUUUUUGCUUUGGUUCGAUCACAGCAUGUGUAUGAUUUAAAAGUUGCACCACCCACGUUGUCCAAAAUUUUGCAAUGCACAGAUGCUCAGUAAAUUGCAUACCUCCAUCUGUGGCAAUAUAAUUAGCUGGAAGAAGGCUUGUGUUUGGAUUUAAUGUAUUGUAUUUUGAUUCAGCUUGAAACUGUUUUAAUUCCUCUGAAUUAUGGGGGUGGGAGUUCUGCCAUUUAAUAUAGUCUGCUCUUAAAUUUAAAAUAUUUCUCAGUUUAAACUGAGAAAGAAAUUGAUCCCAUUUUAAGUAGCAAGAACUGCAGUGCCCAAAUCCAGUAAUUCUUCAAAGGCUUUGUACAUUCAUAUACAUAUGUAAUGGCUGUGUUCUGUUUUCAUAUGGGUAAAGCAUAUGAAAAUGAUACGACUAUAGUAAAUAUCUGAUAUUUACAUUUCUAGAAAGGAAAUGGCUGGAUAUUUCCUAUUAUAAUUAUAAUUCUUAGAUUUUCAGUAUCAAUUCUUAUUUGAAUUCUUCAAGGACUUCUAACAAACUGAGUAAUGAAGUUGUGUAAGAAGCCUGCAAAAUUGUUUCUGCAGGGGACAGGGGACAAAGGGACUGCGAUUUGCCUAAUUUGCAAAAGCAAUAGAAAAUUCAAGCAUCUUGUUCCACAACGUUAUUUUAGUCACUUAAAUAACAUUCAUAUGAGAAUGGUAAUACCAAAAAAUACCAAAAUAAAUGGUAUUUUAAAGAAAAAUCUUCACAGGAAACUCUUAUUGUAGUUGGUUAGGUGGAGUGGGACAGAAUAAAGCAAUCUUUUUCUAGAAACACUGGUCCUGAGAUUUUGGCAUACCAUUUUUGUUGUUCUACUUCCCUAAACAAAUAGAUGUGUGCUGUAAAAAAUCUUGAAAACUGAUGCCCCAGCUGGCACCAUACAAAAAGUAUGAUCAAACUACUGUUCAUUUUUUCCAAAAAUACACUUUUCGUCCUAGAUCAACCUGCAAAUUCAAAUAUCUAUCUGAUCCUCAUCAAAAGAAGCAUGCAUUUGCACUUAUUAUUAUAAAGGAAAACAUUCAAGUCUUUAUAAGCACUUCUGCUCCAUAUUGUCUUUGGUGAAACUCAUUGUGUGGAAGAGUGUAAUACUCAGCCAACUGCUGUAUGAGUUUGCAAGACAGCCAAAAAAUGCACAAACAACCGCUCAUGUUAUCUGUCUGUCACUGUUCUUCAAACUGGAUGCUAGUAGGCAUAGAGGAACAAACAAAAAACCUGAAAUAUUGAUCUGUGAGUCUCAUCAUUAAACUAACUUAUUAGGAUGAAAUAGCCUUAGAGUUGAUGGCAGUAUAUAGAAUACUGGAAACAGGCAAUAUUGCCUCCGGCAGCUCAAACUAUAUCAUCUCAAACUCCUCUGAGCUUCAGGGAACUUGUUAGUGAAGUCACUGGAGUACUCCCAACUAUUCCUGUGUUCCCAUCCUUCUCCCUGCUGCACUUUCCACCUUCCCUACAGUGAAGAAUCCUCAGUAAACUUCACAAAGACACUUAUCUUUCUUUCAUCUUCCUUGUAAACAAUUCCUUGUCCAUCUUUCAGUUCCUGUGGUUGCUGAGAAGCAAGAGGACAAAUAUAUUGUCAAAAAGAUGCUUUUACCUUUUGCAGAAAAGUAUCUCUUAUAUUUCUGUCUAUGGUUCCUAUAAAUGUGUAGAAUAUUUUCAUAUUUUUUUCCCUUUUGUCUUUGCCCGUCCUCAAUUUUAAUGCCUGCUCUCAGAUAUAUUAAGAGUUUUGUCAGAUAAACACCUCCAUCUCUAGAGGUGUUCAAGGCCAGGUUGGAUGGGGCCCUGGGCAGCCUGGUCUGGUAUUAAAUGUGGACGCUGGUGGCCCUGCAUGUAGGGGGGGGGGGGGUUGGAGAUUCAUGAUCCUUGAAGUCCCUUCCAACCCAGGCCAUUCUAUGAUUCUAAGAGUUCAAUCCUCAUGAUUGAGUUUUCAAAAGCUAGAAACUGUUCAGAAACAUUUAGAAAAAGUUUAGAGAUUGAAUUCCAAGUGACUGAUUUAAUACAGUGCAGGUACCGCAAGAACCAAAGCACAGAAUGUGCAUCUUACCUUAGAGGCACUCUUAGACCCUUAACUGAUUUUAUUUUCUGUUUGACAAUAUCACAUAUAUUACCUGACUGUUAGUAUCUAAGUAUUUCAUAUUUAGUCAAGUUGUAACAGAUAGAUCACUCAGGUCAAUGUUUAAAAAUCUCUUCAGAGAGGUUUUGGCACUAAAACAGUCAAUAAAUUCACUUUGGUUGAAACACUGUUCUUGUAUAAUCAUAGAAUACCUUACCUUAAAAGAGACCUUUGGAGAUCACCUAGUCCAUAUUCCUGCUUAAAGCUCUUUACAUAAAAAUGACAUCAGCUUGCUCUGGGCCUUGUCCAGUGGUUUCACAGAUCUCCACAGGUGGAGUUUAUACAGCCAGUAGAGCAGAAUACAUUAACUACAUUGUUUUUUUCCCCUUACAUUUAACUAGAAUUUUCCCUUCCUCGUUGAUUCUUAUCCUAUCACUAUGUACCUCCGAAAAGCGUUUGGUGCUGACUUCUCCAUACUCACUUAGUAAGUAGUUGAAGAAAGCAAUUAAAUCUCUUCCUCAGACCAAACUAACCCACCUUCCUUAACCCUUCCUAGCAUAUUAUGUUCUCCUGCCCUCAGCCAGGCACUCUUCAGUUUAUUAGUGACCUGCAUUGGACAGUAUUCUCUUGAAACUUCAUAGCAAGGAUUAACCACUUACUUUGAGCCAUACCCUUAAUAAUACUGCCCAGUAUAUAGUUAGCUUUCAUCACUGGAAGGACUUAAAUUUGAGUCCUGACUGUUCUAUUUAAUUCUUCUUGAUUUCCAUUACCAGAAGCUGAGAAUGGUGGUAGUCAGUUUUCAUAAUUUAUGAAAAGCUGAUGGUGGCAAUGAGAGUGUUUAUGAUGAGUGGUGCAGGUUGCUGGUUUUCAGAUAUUUCAGGUAUGGUUUUGUCGUAAGGUUACUCAUCUGCUUGUAACACAGAGUGGAAAUUUCCUAUUUCAAAUGUUUAGACAUUUCACAAGUAUCCAGAUCUUUUCUCUGGAUACACAGCAUUGCUGAGCUGCAAGUAGCUGCAUUGCAAGAUGCCCAUUUGCAAGAUCUGGGCAAGUAGUCUUUUUAGUUUGAAUGUGUCACCCAGUAUUUUUAAAGAUAUAGCAUUAAACCAAGUUCAGUAAUCUCAUUCAGUACUACAAAUUGUCUUUUAAAUUUGUUUGGCUGUAGGAUAAUGUGGCAAUUUACCAUUUGAUGUCAACACACUGAAUGUUCCAGUUACUUUUGAAUUUUAUUGUCUGCUUUAAAUUAUAUAACUUUUCCUAACAAAAUGUUCUUGGACCAAAUAUACCAUACUUCUGUUAAACACUUAAGAUCAUGUUUUUCAGAAUGUUUGGUUUAAAGUUAAAACCAAAAAUUUCCUAUAACUUUUUCAGGUUUGAAAAAAAUUACAUCUUUCUCUUGUACUUACUGAGGGCUCUAACAUUACAUUCCAUAAAAUUCCCAAACAUGUGAUGUUACAGUUUUCAGUGAUGGAUGGUUGAUUUAUCUGUAAAAAUCUUACUUAAGUUUUGUAGGAGACUUACUCAGUGUUUUGGAACUAUUUGUGAUUAGUUUACUUAAAAUAAAAUAAGCUCCCACAUUACCUCAUUUUAUAUACUCCUUUAGGUUUAGAAGCAUCUUGGAGCAAGGAGAGAGUUCAACAAUGCCAGUGGGUGAAAUAAAUGAGUAGAAUGUAACUACACAUCAGCUGAGUUGUAUUUACAUUUACUUAAUGGAGAUUCUAUCCUAACAGGUAUUGGAUGAACAGAGCUCCCUGGCACUGUGUUUCCUUUCAUCUGUUCCCAAUGGUGUGAUGUGGAAAGGUAUAAGAAAAAGGUAUCACUCGUGUAACACCUAAUCCUCAACAUGUUACUCUGAAGCCUCUGGACUUCAGUCUAGCUGAGUAGGGAGCUCAGGGCAUCCUUUUGUCCUCUUCUCACUGGAAGAAGUGAUACAUGGACUGGGCAGGUUUGAACAGAGAAUUUCAUUUUGUUCGUUAUGUCUUUCCCUUUUCACUUUUCUUACUAGAAACAGCAAAUCAGACUAGAUAGGUUGUGACAGGUCAAUCCAGGUGUAGAGUCCCGUGAAUUGCAGCAAAUGAGAAUGCAGUAUGUAAUCAGAGCAAAAUAUUCCUUCACCUCCUCUCCUGCUCUUCCCAUGUUUGUGAUGGAAAGAAGGAAAGAUUAAAUCCUUCAUGCUACAGGAAAAAGAGGGCAGAAGUGCAAAAGAAUCUAGGGAUCUUGUUUUUGAAAAUAAAUUAACUCAUUAUAAUCUCUAAGUGAUGUCUUAACGCCAUGCUGAUUGGGGCAUCUGGGUCUGCUGUACGUAGACAAUAAAAUUACCUACAUGCAUAAAUGACUACUUGUAUCUUACCCGGGCUGAACUUCACAGAGAAUCUGAAUACAAAGUCGAGCAGACUUCCAUUAAAAAAGGCUGAGCUGCUCUACUGAAGUGCUAAGAACAUUUGCUUUCGUGGCAAGAAAGAUGUCAAAAUUGCUCAGCUUUUUGCAGCAUUGUGCCGUAAGACUCUGUAUCUCUAGCAGAUUGACAAGCAAAAUAGUACAAAAAGUGAGUGGGGAGUUGCCAUGGUGAUCACAACGUUUGAUAACUGCAAAUAACACUUUUUCAUAAAGCAGCCAUGAACCAGAAUACAGCGGUGGUAUUUAUUAUGACCAGAAGUCCGAAUUCCUAUAAGCCUGUCCUCACUGACUUUCAGCAUAUUGAUAAUUGAUUCAGUUUGAUGCUCAGGAUAUCACUUCACAGUCAAAACCAGGUUUUUGUUUUGCUUUGUUGUCCCCUCAUGAAUUGGUAGGAACUAUAUAGAAGAGAAAAUUGGAAUCUGAAUACUACGUAGAGAUGGUAACCACGUAGAUAUCUGCCAGCAUACGACUUCCUUUCUGCUGAGCGGCUAUCUGUAAUGGACUCUUCUACAUCAACCUGUCUACAGCUUUGGAAAGACAAUAUGUGCAGUCAUUUAGUUAUGCCAGCUUGCAACAGAAAGUCAGGACAGAACUGAGGCAACAAGUCAUGCAUUUAUCUCCUUGUUUUACUACCUAUGGUUACAUUCAGCAGCAGAGAGACGAGAAAAGGCAGAGCCCCCACUUGUCAACAGAACUGACUGAAGCUUUUUUGUCUGUUACUACAGAGAGGCUGUUCAGCCACCUUUAAAAUAAUUUCCUCCUAAAUAUGUAGCUAGUGAGCUAGUUAGUGUAGCUAAAAUUUCACUAGACAUCAGACUUCAGCUAACACUGAAAACAAUACUUAUUUUAUCUCAGAUUAGCUGCCAUUCUGGUUAGAAUGACUAACUUAAAGUUUCCUGUUGAUUCUGUUCUCAUAUCUUAAAAAGUCUCUACUAAUAAGGAGAGAAUCACAAAUACAGUCUGAGAGAAUGGCGUGACUAAUCAGAGCAUCAAUUAAAGAUAACUUAAUGUUGCACAGGAAACUUGGGAAAAUUGAAGAUUUUGCAAAUGCACAGAAUCUAUUUUGCAUAAUCUCUAUAAUAUAUUAUUAUAAUGUAAAAUUGAAGUCAGUGUCAUUAUCAACAUAGAGAUUACGGCAACCAAAUUUCACUUAAGACUUGGUCAUAAUUUUGUCAGUGACUCUAUCUUUUAAGACACAGGGAAUUGGUAAGUGCACUUGUGGGAGCAAGUGUUGUAUAUUCCAUCACCUAAUAUGGCUAACAAGCACAACUAAACCAUACAGGAAAGAGGAUGCCAUAGAACUUGAUUGACAGUCUUUUAUAUAUAUAUUCUUUUUUUUUUUUUUUUGCCCCCAUUCAUUCCAAGUGCAGAGAUUGUAAUUGCAGAUCUACUCUUUGAACAGCACUGACUCAUCACUAUCUAUUCCAUUUCAGAAUUUUAUUUCUGUAUCACUAUCCAAUCCUUUUGAAGUGUUCCUGCUACUGGUUCUGUGCUUAGUCUCAGUGAGUUUGGGUUUUGCUUGUUUACUGCAAUUAGGCUAUGAUUAUGAGUUAUGAAUAAAGCUUAGGAGGGAAAAAAGGAUAGAAAUCUUAUUUUUAUUUUUGGUAAUUUAGAAAGUGCACA
RNAcentral lists this long non-coding RNA (32759 nucleotides) under Gallus gallus (chicken). Lineage: Eukaryota; Metazoa; Chordata; Aves; Galliformes; Phasianidae. The record is from RNAcentral.